GACGAACGCUGGCGGCGUGCCUAAUACAUGCAAGUCGAACGCACUCUCGUUUAGAUUGAAGGAGUUUGCUCCUGAUUGAUAAACAUUUGAGUGAGUGGCGGAUGGGUGAGUAACACGUGGGUAACCUGCCCUAAAGUGGGGGAUAACAUUUGGAAACAGAUGCUAAUACCGCAUAAAACCUAACACCGCAUGGUGUAGGGUUGAAAGAUGGUUUCGGCUAUCACUUUAGGAUGGACCCGCGGUGCAUUAGUUAGUUGGUGAGGUAAAGGCUCACCAAGACCGUGAUGCAUAGCCGACCUGAGAGGGUAAUCGGCCACACUGGGACUGAGACACGGCCCAGACUCCUACGGGAGGCAGCAGUAGGGAAUCUUCCACAAUGGACGAAAGUCUGAUGGAGCAACGCCGCGUGAGUGAAGAAGGUUUUCGGAUCGUAAAACUCUGUUGUUGGAGAAGAAUGUAUCUGAUAGUAACUGAUCAGGUAGUGACGGUAUCCAACCAGAAAGCCACGGCUAACUACGUG
Molecule: ribosomal RNA, 520 nt
Filed under: uncultured bacterium
Lineage: Bacteria
Description: partial 16S ribosomal RNA
Rfam family: Bacterial small subunit ribosomal RNA
Source: RNAcentral